RNAcentral lists this small RNA (17 nucleotides) under Arabidopsis thaliana (thale cress). Its description in RNAcentral is "ATSL008410". The record is from RNAcentral. Lineage: Eukaryota; Viridiplantae; Streptophyta; Magnoliopsida; Brassicales; Brassicaceae.
CUUUUUUGUGUUUUUUC